AUGGAAUACCCUCAAGAUAUGGUUUUCCUUUUUGCUAUGGAAUUUUCUCAAAGGCGAUGCUCGAUUCUUUUCGAUGGACAUGUUAGGUUUGAUAUGGGUAGAUCUUCUAUCCACUUCCAUGUAGAGCAAUGUGGUUUUACUGAUAUCACGCAUUGUGUUGUCGGCAUGCACAAGUUAAUUUCUGUAUUACAACAGUGGAUAAAAUGUCAACUUGAUUGUGCUUCAAAUGGACUUAGCCUUUGUCAAGAGUUAGUUUAUUUUUAUGAUACACGUGAAUAUAGGAGAAAACUAGAAAAAAAAUUAAGAACCAAUGGGAUCUAUUACUGA
Molecule: ribosomal RNA, 327 nt
Filed under: Triticum aestivum (bread wheat)
Lineage: Eukaryota; Viridiplantae; Streptophyta; Magnoliopsida; Poales; Poaceae
Description: partial small subunit ribosomal RNA
Source: RNAcentral